AGCGAUAUGUGGAGCGGUGAAAGGCUCAGUAACGGGCGAUUUAUUUGAUCUCCUGGGACGGACAACAUCGGGAAACUGAUGGGAAAACGUCUAAGUUGCAGUUUUUUGACUGUGACGUAAACCGUAGUGUGCAGGAGAGUAAGAUGCCAUCCUAUCAGUUAGUAAGUAGGGUAAGGGCCUACUUAGACGAAGACGGGUACGGGGAAUGAGGGUUUGAUUCCGGAGAGGGAGCCUGAGAGAUGGCUACCAGGACCAAGGUCAGCAGCAGGCGCGAAAAUUAUCGAAGCCCGCCUAGGGGCGAUAGUGAGGAGACGUGUUAACGAAGUACGUGUAAAGACCGUACUAAUAACUGGAGGUCAAGUCUGGUGCCAGCAUCCGCGGUAAUUCCAGCUCCAGGGGUGUCUAUGAUGAUUGCUGCGAUUAAAAAGUCCGUAGUCGAGCUGACUGACUGACCUGCAAUGUGAUUGAUUAAAGAACGAGCAGGGUUAGGAAAGCAGAGGAUUAGGAGCGACCGAGGGCUAGAGUAUUGAAUGGCGAGAGGUGAAAUUUGAUGACCCAUUCAGGAGUGACAAAGGCGAAGGCACUAGUCAAGGGCGAAUCCGAUGAUCAAGGACGUAGGCUAGAGUUUCGAAAACGAUUAGAGACCGGAGUAGUUCUAGCAGUAAACUAUGCCGACGCCGUGGUAUUAGGUAUUAGUAUUGCGGAAGAGAAAUCAAGUAAGGCUUUGGGGAGAGUACGCGCGCAAGCGAUAAAUUUAAAGGAAAUUGACGGAGGAACACCACAAGGAGUGGAGUGUGCGGCUUAAUUUGACUCAACGCGGGACAGCUUACCAGGCCCGAUAUCGAGCGAGCGUAGUACGCGAUAGGUUAAGAAGUGGUGCAUGGCUGCUAUCGACAGUUGGGGUGACCUUAGGGUUAAUUCCGGCAAGUAGUGAGACCCCUGCAGAUAGUGGACAGGUAUUUUCAAGAUACAGGAAGGAAGGGACAAGAGCAGGUCAGUGAUGCCCUUAGAUGGCCUGGGCUGCACGCGCACUACAGUGGUCAUUAUAAGUAGAAGUUAGAUAUAAAGAUGAUCGAGAGGGACUGAGCUUUGUAAGAGGCUCACGAACGAGGAAUUGCUAGUAAUCGUAGGCUCAUUAAGAUACGAUGAAUAUGUCCCUGUACCUUGUACACACCGCCCGUCGUUAUCGAAGAUGGAAUUGUGUGCGAACAAGCAUUAAGCGAGUGAGCGCAUAGUUCUAGAUGUGAUAAAAGUCGUAACAAGGCAACUGUAGGAGAACCUGUAGUUGGAUCAUACAGAUUGUUUUUUAACAGUUUUAUUUAUAAAUAUUCCUUACGCAAGGGAUCGUUUGGUUCUAUGUACGAUGAAGGUCGAAACUGUAUUCGAUAAAAUAGGAUGAAAGUAAAAAUUGUCCUAUGUUACUGAAUAGAGUAGCGAUGCUCGAGUACUCCUUUGAAUUAAGCAUAUGAGUAAAGGAAGGAGAAGAAACUAACAAGGAUUCUCUUAUUAGUGGCGAAUGAACAGAGAAGAGCCCUAAGUGUAAUCAAAUUCUUGCAAUUUGAGAUGUCAGGCAUUAGAUAGUGUGAAUAUACUGGAAAGUAUUGCCGUAGAGAGUUAUAGCCUCGUAGCACUAUAUGAUAGGGAUGAGUAGUUGUGCUCGGUAAUGCACAAUGAAAUAGGUGGUAGUGUCCAUCUAAGGCUAAAUAUGACAUAGAAACCGAUAGUGGAUAAGUAAAGUGAUCGAAAAUGGAAUAGA
Molecule: ribosomal RNA, 1756 nt
Filed under: Dictyocoela roeselum
Lineage: Eukaryota; Fungi; Microsporidia
Description: bacterial SSU rRNA
Rfam family: Microsporidia small subunit ribosomal RNA (bases 1-1296)
Source: RNAcentral